Molecule: small RNA, 2190 nt
Filed under: Pongo abelii (Sumatran orangutan)
Lineage: Eukaryota; Metazoa; Chordata; Mammalia; Primates; Hominidae
Description: processed transcript
Source: RNAcentral
AGGUCUCCGCGACCACAGGGCUGGGGCGACCAGAAAAGCCAGACUAAGCAGGGCGAGUUCAGGCGUGCAAUUGGGCCUGAAGCUCUCACGCCCAGCUAGGCCUGAAUGUCCCAGACCCCACCGUCACCCCCGUGGCCUGGAUGGAGCAGGGGACGGCCGGCGAAGGCGCGGGGUGGAGGGGGAGCGGCGACGAAGGCGCGAGGAGCUGACUGGGAAUCCCCGAGCUACCCGAGGCAAGACACUGAACUUGAGUCGCACUUUUCAUGCCUGUAAAAAUGAGAAUGACAGCUGUGAUAAAAAUUCAUCUGGGCGAUAUCUGGAACGUGUAAGGUGAAAGAGAAUGAAAGACGUAGAUAACCUCAAAAGUAUAAAAGAAUGAGUCUCGCUCUGUCGCCAGGCUGGAGUGCAGUGGCAUGAUCUCGGCUCACUGCAACCUCCGCCUCCCAGGUUCAAGCGAUUCUUCUGCCUCAGCCUCCUGAGUAGCUAGGACUACAGGGUUUGUGAAACAGGAUCUGAUAAUCAACCUCUUGAUAAUAAUCAACAAUCAAAUUGUGAAUAUUUUGUUGAUAGCCUUUUUGAGGAAGCUCAGAAGGUUAGUUCCAAAUGCGUGUCUCCUGCUGAACAGAAGAAACAGGUAGAUGUAAAUAUAAAAUUAUGGAAAAACGGAUUCACCGUCAAUGACGAUUUCAGAAGUUAUUCCGAUGGUGCCAGUCAGCAGUUUUUGAACUCCAUCAAAAAGGGGGAAUUACCUUCAGAAUUACAGGGAAUUUUUGAUAAAGAAGAGGUGGACGUUAAAGUUGAAGACAAGAAAAAUGAAAUAUGUUUGUCUACGAAGCCUGUGUUCCAGCCCUUUUCAGGACAGGGUCACAGACUAGGAAGUGCCACACCAAAAAUUGUUUCUAAAACAAAGAAUAUUGAAGUUGAAAAUAAAAAUAAUUUGUCUGCUGUUCCACUGAACAACUUGGAACCCAUUACUAAUAUACAGAUCUGGUUGGCGAAUGGAAAAAGGAUUGUCCAGAAAUUUAACAUUUCUCAUAGAGUAAGCCAUAUCAAAGACUUCAUUGAAAAAUACCAAGGAUCUCAAAGAAGUCCUCCAUUUUCCCUGGCAACAGCUCUUCCUGUCCUCAGGUUGCUAGAUGAGACACUCACACUGGAAGAAGCAGAUUUACAGAAUGCUGUCAUCAUUCAGAGACUCCAAAAAACUGCUGCAUCUUUUAGAGAACUUUCAGAGCACUGAUUUUUGAUAGACUAAGUGGAAAAUUUGCAGAGAAAUGAUGGUUGUAAGUGGACAUGCAAACCAAAAUUGGGGAUUGGAGAAGUCAGACUCACUAGACUUUUGGUUCGAGUACUAUUGAACUCUCUCCUGAUGAGAAGAUGUUUAGAUAAGUACAAGUUAGGAAAGUAGCAUAUGACUGGAAACUAUAUUCAGUGCACUUUCUCCAAAAGACUACCCAGAAAAAUAGACUUAUUUUCAAAUACCAGUUAUCAAGAUAUAUUAAAUAGCUGUAUUAUUUAGAAUCUUAAUAUGGUAUAAAUUAGCAAAUGUAUUCACAAUAUUCAUUCAAACAUCAUUCCCAGACAGCAGGGAUUUAUUUAAAUGUUAGUUGUCUCAGAGUUUUUAAAUAGCUAAUACGACCAGGUACAGCGGUUCAUGUCUGUAAUCCCAGCACUUUGGGAGGCCGAGACAGGCAGAUCACGAGGUCAACAGAUUGAGACCAUCCUGGCAAACAUGGUGAAACCCCAUCUCUAGUAAAAAUACAAAAAUUAGCUGGGCGUGGUGGUGCGCACCUGUAGUCCCAGCUACUCGGGAGGCUGAGGCAGGAGAAUCGCUUGAACCUGGGAGGUGUAGGUUGCGGUGAGCUGAGUUUGAGCAACUGCACUCCAGCUUGGUGACAGAGCAAGACCCCCUCUCAAAAAUAAAUAAAAUAAAAUAAAAUAAAUAUAAAUAAUUGUGGCCGGGUGCAAUAGCUCAUGCCUGUAAUCCCAACACUUUGGGAGGCUGAGAUGGGAGGAUCACUUGAAGCCAGGAGUUUAAAACCAGAAUGGUCAACAGAGUGAGACCCCUGUCUAUAUAUUUUUUUAAUUAAAAAAAUAAAAGAAUAAAAUUGUGUAGCUUAGUAUAGUAUCAAGAUUAAUCUGCCUACUCACAUUUCUACACUAUAAAAAUGUAAUAAAAGAAAAUUCUCUUUC